RNAcentral lists this ribosomal RNA (415 nucleotides) under uncultured bacterium. RNAcentral's name for it is "bacterial SSU rRNA". It matches the Rfam family "Bacterial small subunit ribosomal RNA", at positions 30 to 447 of the family's 1533-position model. The record is from RNAcentral.
AUUGAACGCUGGCGGCAUGCCUUACACAUGCAAGUCGAACGGCAGCACGGGAGGAAUCCUGGUGGCGAGUGGCGAACGGGUGAGUAAUAUAUCGGAACGUGCCCAGUCGUGGGGAUAACGUAGCGAAAGCUACGCUAAUACCGCAUACGAUCUAUGGAUGAAAGCGGGGGAUCGCAAGACCUCGCGCGAUUGGAGCGGCCGAUAUCAGAUUAGGUAGUUGGUGAGGUAAAGGCUCACCAAGCCGACGAUCUGUAGCUGGUCUGAGAGGACGACCAGCCACACUGGGACUGAGACACGGCCCAGACUCCUACGGGAGGCAGCAGUGGGGAAUUUUGGACAAUGGGCGCAAGCCUGAUCCAGCAAUGCCGCGUGCAGGAUGAAGGCCUUCGGUUGUAACUAGCUUUGUUACGGAACG